GUUCCGGUAGCUCAGGGGUAGUAGCGGCAGAUUGCAACUGUGCAAGUAUCUGCAGGUCGCGCGUUCAAAUCGCGCCCGGAACU
This 83-nucleotide transfer RNA is filed under the name Malassezia sp. CBS 17886. Its description in RNAcentral is "tRNA-Cys". It matches the Rfam family "tRNA". From Rfam's summary of the family: Transfer RNA (tRNA) molecules are approximately 80 nucleotides in length. Their secondary structure includes four short double-helical elements and three loops (D, anti-codon, and T loops). The record is from RNAcentral. Lineage: Eukaryota; Fungi; Basidiomycota; Malasseziomycetes; Malasseziales; Malasseziaceae.